Long non-coding RNA from Hippocampus comes (tiger tail seahorse), 390 nucleotides. RefSeq lists it as uncharacterized. The transcript has 2 exons. NCBI's taxonomy places the organism in Eukaryota, Metazoa, Chordata, Actinopteri, Syngnathiformes, Syngnathidae. The record is from RefSeq and is a predicted model, not a curated record.
CCCUUAUUUCCAUUGUGUUUUGUGCCAAAUUCUAUUUUCGAAAAAAAUGAAUAUUGAAGAAAAGGCUCAGCUCCUUUCUUUGUUUAUCACGAAACGUUCGUGUUGACGCAUUUAAGUAUCGCGUUAUUUCAGCACCUGCCAGUUCCGGGUUUGCGUCCUGACCAAGUUCAUUACGUUCCGAUCUAUUUCAGCCUUUGUCCUUUCAGUUCCUUUGUGCCGUUUACCUCAUUGGCGAUUCCCAAAGCCCUCGAGUACAUGACCAAAACUUCUUACAGCCGCUGUGAGACCUAACAGCCUGACGAACAUCUUGGGCCUCAGACCAGGAAAUUGAUGUUACAAUCAAAAGAUGGCUACAUUUGGAUCCUGAUAGGGGUGGUGACAGGAAGGAGA